GACGAACGCUGGCGGCGUGCUUAACACAUGCAAGUCGAACGGAAAGGCCCCCUUGUGGGGUACUCGAGUGGCGAACGGGUGAGUAACACGUGAGUAACCUACCCUUGACUUUGGGAUAACUUCAGGAAACUGGGGCUAAUACCGGAUAGGAGCUCCUGCUGCAUGGUGGGGUUGGAAAGUUUCGGCGGUUGGGGAUGGACUCGCGGCUUAUCAGCUUGUUGGUGGGGUAGUGGCUCACCAAGGCUUUGACGGGUAGCCGGCCUGAGAGGGUGACCGGCCACAUUGGGACUGAGAUACGGCCCAGACUCCUACGGGAGGCAGCAGUGGGAAUAUUGCACAAUGGGCGGAAGCCUGAUGCAGCAACGCCGCGUGCGGGAUGACGGCCU
RNAcentral lists this ribosomal RNA (386 nucleotides) under uncultured bacterium. RNAcentral describes it as "bacterial SSU rRNA". It matches the Rfam family "Bacterial small subunit ribosomal RNA", at positions 28 to 417 of the family's 1533-position model. The record is from RNAcentral.